Molecule: long non-coding RNA, 1484 nt
Filed under: Homo sapiens (human)
Lineage: Eukaryota; Metazoa; Chordata; Mammalia; Primates; Hominidae
Description: HSALNT0007024
Source: RNAcentral
ACCUUCGGGCCGGUCAGCUCUGGUUUUAGCAGAAGUUUCCCUGAGGGAUCGGGGGCCUCCACAGGGGGAAUACAAAAUCCAACACGCAAAGACCUGGCUUCACUGCCUUGCUGGCAGACUUUGGGCAAGUGACCUUCCCCUCUGAGCCUCACCGUCCUCUCUGUGCAAUGAGUAUGUUAAUGCCUAUGCCAAAGGCAGGCUGGGAGGACAAAGAGAGAGCCCCCAGAACCUGAAAUCCAAGUCCCAGCCCAUAAGGGUUCCGUGAACACGCUCAUGUGCUUGUUCUUACUAGACAAAGAUGUGAUUGCAAGAACAAGACCCCUGCCCUGGGAAACUCAACACUGGACAUCUCAAGCUCUUCCUACUCCUGAACAUGCCAUGGAACCACAACUGGUGAUGGAGCCAAAAGCCGUGAACAGUGGGACAUUUGAAACCCCUCAGCAAGCAUGCUUGCUAACAUGAUUUCCAGGGAAGUGUUAUUGAUGAGUGUGGUUCAUCUUAUAUACUUACAUGAAAUAAUAGUAGACAUGGCACCCCACUGGCAUUCCAAGGCCUCCUAUGGAGGGAGAGAAGCGGGGGAGGUGGGAGCUCACAGGAUUAGCCUGGAGAUGGUGAAGAGAUCUCAAGGCAGAGAACCCAGCUGGCCCAUCUGGGGCCUUCUGACUCCAUGACGGGGUCCUCCAGAUGCCUUGAGGUCAGGGCCAAACCCGAUGGGCAGCCUGGUGUGGGAGGACCAAGCUCAGCCAUAACAUCUGGGUCACAUAUGCUCCAGUCCCUCUCUACCUUCUCAUCUCUCUGCUAUGUCUCUGUCCCCUAAAUGGCUCAAUUCCCAAAGUAGGGUGAGACUACUAACUGAGCCAUAUGCGGGUGGGUAGAAGGGUGGGAAGUCUGGAAGGAGGGCAGGAAUAAAGAUUACCAGCAGUGUCUUUGGCUGAUGGGAGUGCCUGAUAACACUAACCACCCCCCGCCCAUUUUUGGUACCUGCUUUGUAUUUUUCCAACUUGUCAGAGCUGUGAGUCACCCUCUGCAUGGAGGGAUUCCCACGCUUAGGUGCCAGUUGGUUGGCAGAUGCCAAAACAAAUCAAAGACCCAGUCGUGAAGCUUGGCUAGGUUUGAACAAGGUGCUGGGGCGGUGUUCUAGGUGAGGCAUUGUUACUUCUUGGAAAAUGAACUGUCUUCAGAGCAGCAAGUCCCUCUGCUAGGCAUUUAUUUAUCCCCUGCCACUCUGCAAAAAUGAUUCCAGUUCAAAGAGAUUGCAACAAAAGGAUUGUGUGUAAGGUUAAUUAAAGAAAAAAGAAGAAGAAACCAGGAGAACCAAGGAAAUAAGAAGAGAAUGAAAAUGAGCAGUAUAUCUUCUGUGAAUGUGCACCAGAUGAAGCUAUAAGCUCCCUGCUGGCCAAGGCAAAAAAGGAAGCAUGAUCACUUUAUGGAGCUCUUGACAUAACUAACAUUUGUUGAUUACAAUUCCAAAAUUUUUAUUUUUA